This 362-nucleotide long non-coding RNA is filed under the name Mytilus galloprovincialis (Mediterranean mussel). The record is from RNAcentral. Lineage: Eukaryota; Metazoa; Mollusca; Bivalvia; Mytilida; Mytilidae.
CCUAAAGCUUUAAAUGUCAGAUCAUGAGGGUCUGAAUGGGGAUUCAGUAUUUCUGUAUUCUAUAUUUUUAGGCAAUUUGUUUUAUAAUUCGUUUUACCUUUUGCCGAUCAUUCUUUAUUCCAUAUAUAUUCUAGUACCUCAUCAUUUUCUUUUCUAUUUGUCUGGUUAUUUUUUGUAUUCUUUAUUUUUUUUGUCUAUAAUUUCCUUCUAUAAACCCCCAUUCACACCCUCAUGUAUAAUGGAAGACGAUAAACAUUUUAGUAUACAUACCACCCGUUGUCACUUUCACCUGACAUACAAAUCACAUAUUGUUAUUACGGCCCGUUAUUUCCACCUGGACACAGGACUUAUAUAAUAUAUAU